UACCGUGGUUGGUUUUGUUGUGUUGGUCACUCCCUCUUUACACAACCUCCCUGUAAGAAAUCACUCUUUUCCAGUUGUUGUUGUGGUUGUAGUGAGAAAACAAGAGGUGGAAGACCAUGGAGAACAAGGUAUCUUGAAAAGUACAAUCGGACUCAUCUCAUGAAAUAUUCGAACUUACUGAUCCUUUGAAAUAUUCGUUUGAUAAGUUCUUAGUUACAGGAUCAUCGUCUUAAAUUCUUCGAUUGUAGUACCAUGUAUGUGAAACCAUAAACUUUUUUGAAUCGUGAAAACACCUUGUUUGUGCAAGUUGCGGUAUGUGGGGUCCCAACUCGACAAACACAAGUUGCGCUCUCACCUACCCCGACUUGACGCGAUGGAAGCAGCAACAGUAAAAACGGACGGAGUUCGGUAGGUGGUGUACACUAAAAGGGCCAUCGUGUUCCACUUUGUUGUCUCAUCCGUAGUCACUAACGGUAGAACCUCGUCUUCGAACGUUUAUUCAAUUUGGUCAUGCACGUACUUAUUUCUUUUCUCUUUUUUAUCUCAUUUCCUACUUGCGACGAUGACCCAUACCUUCUUAGAAAGAUCCGGUUCGUGACGUCGAGCAAUAUAUUGUUCGGUUGUGAGUGAAAACAUUAAGUGGGUUCCCAGUUUCCUUCCUCCGGUGCCAAGUUGUGGUAUAUACAACCGCAACUCGAGAUUGUUGAGUUGCGGUCGACAACUCGGAUAGUACACGCAAACGAGGUAUUUUUAUUAUUUACUACUACGUAGUGAUUAUACAGUACAAAUGUUGAGGAGUUAAUUUACUGGUAGAGAGGAAAUCUCUACUUUUCACGGUCUUGACCGGGAACAAACAAAAGUCCCCGAUUUAUACCGUUCAUUAAAACUAACCCCCAUCAUACGCAUGUAUGUUAUAAAAACCACAAGGAUAACCAUACGUUCAAAAAAAACCAACAACAAUUUAAGUCCUGAUACACAAUAAAGACGAGUCUACACUAAGUAAAAGUUCUUAGUGGCGUUCUCAAACAACCAUCUAUGUGAUCAAAUGUGUACAUACACACACUAGUGAACGUUCUGACGUUGGUUCCAUGUGUAGGUUCUUAGACAUUGUAAUCAUUUAUCCCUAUAGGGGAAGGAGAGGAACUAUUCGGAUUUAGUGUUCACAAUACGACGAUUAGAAUACAUCGAAGCAAAGACUUAAAUAUAACAAACACACUAACAAACUCUGACGUUUUUCGAAUUCGAAUAUAGAUGACCACUCAAACUUCUACAUUGAUCAAAAGGUAAAGUACGUCCACACAGAAUGUUAAAGCUUUUCUGACUAUUACCAUAAAAGGCCAAUUUCGAGUGACGUUUACGCUUUUUUUAUUAUCGACUAAACUCUUCCGGAGAACUCUAAAACUACUUUCCGUUGUGAUAUUUGGUGGGACUGGACUGUCAUUCACGUCAAGUCGAUGAAAACAGGGUACUACCACAUGAUUAUGUUGAACAGUAAAACUUUCUUUCUAACCUUUUAGAUAUGACGUGAGCUGCGUGUGGCGCAGGGCCCGCCGUCGACGGCGCGCUCCGAUCGAUGUCACGCCACGAGAUAAACGAGUUAUGUUUGAUCGUCACUAACGAUGUACCCUACCUGUUGUGUACGAAAACAUUUAUAGAGAUCUUAUUUUACAACUGUUUUAUUAUUAGGUCAGAUGUACGAUGAUUAAUUCAUCAUCAAUAAACUUAUCAAACAUCGUCCGUUCAUCUUGUUUAGUUCGAACCGUUAAUGUUAUAAAAAAACGUCCAAUGAUAAUCUAUAUACUUUAUUCGUACCGUAGUUCAAGUGAUUUGUUCAUUCGUACGUUUUGUUUUGGUUCAAACGUGUAGGUUUCACACAGUGCAUGAUCUCUACGGAAACUGGCUCUUCACGUUUAGUCUUAGUGCAUACUUUUCUGUGAAGGUAGUCGUGCAAACGAUAAGUUUUUUUUGUAGUGCAAACAACAUGACUGUGUGUUAGUCAAAGGUUAAUAUAGAGUUUUGGUUAGUUGUGUUCGAUCGGUGCGAUGUGUAGGGUCGAUUAACGUUGAACCGCAACAUUCGUUAUUAGCCGUUCGGAAUCGAGACGGAGUCCGGAGCCAGCUGUCUUGUCAUUUACAAAAUCAUCGAAAACUGGUUGGUUCUGCAUGAUGUGUCUUGUUUUGUUCCUUCCUCUAUGACAUCUUUCGUUUCGACGGAACGCCAAAAUUUGUUUAACGGUAGCGGAGUUCCGUUCUUGCGCACCUGUACUGAUGAUGACGUAUGUGUUAUUUGGGUCAGUUUUCCUUCGUCCGUUUAUAUGAGCUUGCUGUCAUCUAUUGAGCUCGUUGUCUCUGGCGUUCUGGAGACGUAGACGCAUGCCGCGAUCUAGGUAGAAUUGAACGCUCUUGUUCGUGUAUAGAUUUUAGCUACUUCGGCCCUAUAUGGAGCCCACGGCUCGCCUCGCAGUGGCACCCCCACGACGAUCUCAGCUAGCUCGGGCUGUCGCUUGUCUCUGCCGCCCUCCUGUGCAACUGCCUCUGCCUCGAGACAGGCGCUUCGUCUGCUACGUCCCCUCCGGUACCGCUCCUCCGUUUGCCGCCGCCGCGAACCUCAACCCGCUCCGAAGCCGAUCCGCCGCGUCCUUGCUGCUCCUCCCUGAACCGUAGUCCCGCCGCGCGACGUUCCAGGUACCGCCGCCUCACGUGACAAACUCUGUCUCUCUCAUUAGCUCUACACACUCUCUCUUUUUCCUCCUUCUUUCUCUCGUGCCCUUCUUCUCUUGUCUCUUCUUCCCACCGUGAGUAGACGACCGAGACCGUUCGACACCGACCA
Molecule: ribosomal RNA, 2829 nt
Filed under: Triticum aestivum (bread wheat)
Lineage: Eukaryota; Viridiplantae; Streptophyta; Magnoliopsida; Poales; Poaceae
Description: partial small subunit ribosomal RNA
Source: RNAcentral